AUUCAAACUAGAGGACUCCAUAUAUAGUGCUUCUCCAUCGGGAAGUAUGGUAUAGUAUAUGUUUUCCAUUAAUUACCUAGACUGUGGUAGCCUGGUAUGGUCUAAUUUGUCCCGACGCAGUUUUAUAAUAAACUAAAAAAUACUUGUAACAUAAAAGGUCUCUGUUUUGCCCCAUUGCUCUGGUAAAGCACCCUCCCCCUUGUCAGUCAGUCUGCUCCCCUGCUGUAUACGCGCAUGCUUACUUACACACUGGAACCACCUGGCUGCAUCCGAGACACCAAGUCAUUUUAAAGGCACAGCAUCACUUGAUGUCAAAACAGACCUUUAUACAGGCAGCAUGGAGAGCACCUGGUUGCCUGCAUGAGGGUCUCCAUCAAUGGGCCAAGCCCAGAAGAAUUCAACUAUAAAAUUUAAUGUCCAAAUUCAGUGUGCAAGCUGGCCAAAUGUUUAUUUUAUUUUAUUUUAAUUUAUUUUAAUAAACCAGUUAAACAAUCA
Hemibagrus wyckioides is the source of this 495-nucleotide long non-coding RNA. RefSeq lists it as uncharacterized. NCBI's taxonomy places the organism in Eukaryota, Metazoa, Chordata, Actinopteri, Siluriformes, Bagridae. The transcript has 2 exons. The record is from RefSeq and is a predicted model, not a curated record.